GAUGAACGCUGGCGGCGUGCCUAAUACAUGCAAGUCGAGCGAACCACUUCGGUGGUGAGCGGCGAACGGGUGAGUAACACGUAGGUUAUCUGCCCAUCAGACGGGGACAACGAUUGGAAACGAUCGCUAAUACCGGAUAGGACGAAAGUUUAAAGGUGCUUCGGCACCACUGAUGGAUGAGCCUGCGGCGCAUUAGCUAGUUGGUAGGGUAAAGGCCUACCAAGGCGACGAUGCGUAGCCGACCUGAGAGGGUGAACGGCCACACUGGGACUGAGACACGGCCCAGACUCCUACGGGAGGCAGCAGUAGGGAAUCUUCGGCAAUGGGCGAAAGCCUGACCGAGUAACGCCGCGUGAAUGAUGAAGGCCUUGGUGUAAAUACUGUUAUAAGGAAGAAUAGGCUCUAGUAGGAAAUAGGCUAGAGUAGUGACGGUACC
Molecule: ribosomal RNA, 436 nt
Filed under: uncultured bacterium
Lineage: Bacteria
Description: bacterial SSU rRNA
Rfam family: Bacterial small subunit ribosomal RNA
Source: RNAcentral